Molecule: long non-coding RNA, 558 nt
Organism: Frankliniella occidentalis (western flower thrips)
Lineage: Eukaryota; Metazoa; Arthropoda; Insecta; Thysanoptera; Thripidae
Exons: 3
Source: RefSeq, a predicted model, not a curated record
AAAAAAAGUAAAAACUUACCGAGUGUGGACGCCUGGUGGUCAACGAUGUCAGCCAAUGAGCAUGUAGCAGACAGCUAACUGAUUUGGUGGCUGUGGUGCUGUCUCUUCUUCAGGUAAAUUGGCAUCGCGGACUUCGCUAGGAUAAACUGACUGAGGUAAAGGUACGACUACGAUGGGGCAACCGACCUUUAAUUUGGCUUAGUAGUUUACUUUUGGUCUUUUUUUCUCACGUUCUCUCCAAACUUUGCUUUUGAUUCUAUCUAGAUUUUUCUUCUACCCAGUGAGAAAUGGAUUUUCUUCAACUUCGAUUCGAUGUCGUUUAAACGUCGAAAUAGUCUAAUGAACGUCAUUUUGUCCUCUAAAUCCACGUCUUUUCGGCAUUUCGACGUCGAUUCGACGUUGAAUCCACGUUUUUAUUUCUCACUGGUUUAGAAUCGUUCUGGUAAAGUUUUAAAUAAAAUGCUGUUAACUCUUGGCACAAAAUUACGAUUUUGUUGACUCUUUAAACUCGAAACGCUUAUUGUUUGAUUGUAAAAUUAUUUACCGAAAGACAAACUG